UCAGAUCUAACUCCAGUCCAAUAUCCCCUAAGACGCCUUCUCUGACCACUCCAGGGCACAAUGAUCUCAAGGUUCAGCAUCUCCAGAGAUGAGCUUUCCAAAUACCUGAUGAAGAUAUGCAUGAGUCAGUGAUGCCACAAAAUGCCACAGAAUAUCAUGGAGAGAAGUGGUUUGGAUGACAUUACACAGAAGCCAGUUGAAAGCCUGAAGAAAUGACGGUUAAAUGAGUUCAAGAAUAAAAUACAUGAGUUUAAAAAGUACUCAGAAAUAAAGUACCUCCAUCGAUUAAGGCUUCAAAGAAAGAUACUAGAAAAUCUUUUUUAAUUAAAAAAAAAAUACCUUAUAGUUUUA
This 351-nucleotide non-coding RNA is filed under the name Pongo abelii (Sumatran orangutan). The record is from RNAcentral. Lineage: Eukaryota; Metazoa; Chordata; Mammalia; Primates; Hominidae.